GAUGAACGCUGGCGGCGUGCCUAAUACAUGCAAGUCGAGCGAACAGACGAGGAGCUUGCUCCUCUGACGUUAGCGGCGGACGGGUGAGUAACACGUGGAUAACCUACCUAUAAGACUGGGAUAACUUCGGGAAACCGGAGCUAAUACCGGAUAAUAUAUUGAACCGCAUGGUUCAAUAGUGAAAGACGGUUUUGCUGUCACUUAUAGAUGGAUCCGCGCCGCAUUAGCUAGUUGGUAAGGUAACGGCUUACCAAGGCAACGAUGCGUAGCCGACCUGAGAGGGUGAUAGGCCAAACUGGAACGGAAACACGGUCCAGACUACUACGGGAGGAAGCAGUAGGGAAGCGUCCACAAUGGGCGAAAGCCUGACGGAGAAACGUCGCGUGAGUGAUGAAGGUCUUCGGAUCGUAAAACUCUGUUAUUAGGGAAUAACAAAUGUGUAAGUAACUAUGCACGUCUUGACGGUACCUAAUCAGAAAGCCACGGCUAACUACGUG
This 497-nucleotide ribosomal RNA is filed under the name uncultured bacterium. RNAcentral describes it as "partial 16S ribosomal RNA". It matches the Rfam family "Bacterial small subunit ribosomal RNA", at positions 28 to 507 of the family's 1533-position model. The record is from RNAcentral.